GGCUGGAGUUAUACUCGGCCUCGUGUCGAUAUAACUCUCAGUCAUCCGUAUGAGAAACUAACUCGCCAUUAACGUGGUGGUUAGUGUAUCAUACAAUUUACUUUGAAAAAAUUAGAGUGUUUCAGGCAGGCCAUUGCUGGGAUACACAAGCAUGGAAUAAUGGAAUAGGACUUUGACCUAUUUUAUUGGUAUAUUAGGUCGAAGUA
This 206-nucleotide ribosomal RNA is filed under the name uncultured fungus. RNAcentral describes it as "partial small subunit ribosomal RNA". The stretch from base 81 to 206 matches the Rfam family "Eukaryotic small subunit ribosomal RNA", at positions 735 to 864 of the family's 1831-position model. The record is from RNAcentral. Lineage: Eukaryota; Fungi.